This 318-nucleotide long non-coding RNA is filed under the name Aedes aegypti (yellow fever mosquito). Its description in RNAcentral is "lncRNA AAEL023876". The record is from RNAcentral. Lineage: Eukaryota; Metazoa; Arthropoda; Insecta; Diptera; Culicidae.
ACUCACACCAAGAUAGCAGUAAACGUAACACUAAUAGGACAAACUGAACAGUAACCGUCAUUUUGAAAAAUUGCGCCAGUGCGUAGAACGGUACACCGAAUUCCGAUUCUUUAAAGAUAAAAUUGUUUCCGGGUAGUAAUAGAACCGUGAACACCCAAUAACAUCAAUGACGAUUAAUUGUUCAAACAAACAUAUAGACGAAAAACAACAUAAAACUUCGAGUCCUUGAUAAAGGUCCAAUAAGGACCGAAACGUUGGAGAAAGAAACCAUACAGUUGUUUUAAAUUGUUAAAAAAGACUGAAAAGCCAGAAAAUUUU